UGCCAGCCGCCGCGGUAAGACAGAGGUGGCGAACGUUACCCGGAUUUACUGGGCGUAAAGGGCGUCUAGGCGGCUUAGCAAGUCUUCUGUGAAAGCCCCCUGCUUAACGGGGGGAGGCCAGUGGAUACUACUAAGCUAGAGGAUCGGAGGGGAAAGCGGUACUACUGGAGGAGCGGUGAAAUGCGUAGAGACCAGUAGGAACCUCGAUAGCGAAGGCAGCUUUCUGGCCGAUUUCUGACGCUGAAGCGCGAAAGCGUGGGGAGCAAACCGGAUUAGAUA
Molecule: ribosomal RNA, 279 nt
Filed under: uncultured bacterium
Lineage: Bacteria
Description: partial 16S ribosomal RNA
Rfam family: Bacterial small subunit ribosomal RNA
Source: RNAcentral